UGGUGGGUUGGUCGUCUAGGCGAAAUGAUCAAGUUUAAACUAGCUUCUUGACUCAUUGAGCUUGGGAUGAGAUUGAUUAAAAGCAAACUCAUGCUCAUGGAGAAUAGCUAAGCAAAGCUUGAGCAAAGAAAACUCAGUUUCGUACAUAUGCAGGUAAAAAUUGCACAGUAUCACAUGCAUUGAAUGUAACUGUUUAUCACAUUGGCAAUACUUAAAAAACAAAAGGGACAAGCCUGUAUAGAUCAUAAACAACGAUCAAGAAAUUAAAUCAAACCAAAAAUGGAUAGAUUCAUGAUCAGUUAGCAAAACUGCAGAAACUUGCACAUCAAGGGGGGAAAAAACCUGCCUUGGAAGAUUCAUUGGCGUAUUAGUUUCAGUGUCUCUCAAUCUGUUCGGUACAAUCAUGUGUAAGGUCAUUUACUUUGAUAUCCUCUUCCAUUGGAUCAUAAUCGAUGAUAGUUAACAACACUUCUGCAUUAUCAGGUUGGAAAGGCUCGG
Molecule: long non-coding RNA, 498 nt
Filed under: Theobroma cacao (cacao)
Lineage: Eukaryota; Viridiplantae; Streptophyta; Magnoliopsida; Malvales; Malvaceae
Description: long non-coding RNA (TCAC_LNC002165)
Source: RNAcentral